UACGUAGGGGGCAAGCGUUAUCCGGAAUUACUGGGUGUAAAGGGGGCGUAGACGGUAAUGUAAGUCUGGAGUGAAAGGCGGGGGCCCAACCCCCGGACUGCUCUGGAAACUAUGUUACUAGAGUGCAGGGGAGGUAAGCGGAAUUCCUAGUGUAGCGGUGAAAUGCGUAGAUAUUAGGAAGAACACCAGUGGCGAAGGCGAUUCUCUGGACUGUAACUGACGCUGAGGCUCGAAAGCGUGGGUAGCAAACAGG
Molecule: ribosomal RNA, 253 nt
Filed under: uncultured bacterium
Lineage: Bacteria
Description: partial 16S ribosomal RNA
Rfam family: Bacterial small subunit ribosomal RNA
Source: RNAcentral